CACUUGUAAACGCCCCAGUCGAUAGUGUCAACAUCUAAUGGGAACCCGCCGUAGAUUAUUUGAAUUUAAAAUUGAUGUACUAUUAUGAUAAGUACGGUAACGUUAUAAAUUUAUUCUGGUGUAAUAUAUUACUUGAAAGAACAGUCUUAGUGUAUACUUGUAAACGCCCAAGCGAUAGCGUAAACAUCUAAUGGGAACCAUUUAACUUACAACCAUGGCAUAUUUGAACUUAAAACUGUUGAUUAGUUUAGUCACCAUAUUAUUAUCUGUGUGUUGUGCGAAAUAUACAGAGCCCAAAGUUUAUAAUACUCCAAUAUUUAAUUAUAAAUGUUUGCAAGCAGAAAUUAGAUGUAUUCACAGGGAAACGUUUAUACUCGAAGCCAUUACACAAUAUAAUCUGGGAUUUCUCUCAACUUAUGAUGUUAAACUGGCUUGCACAGAAUUAAGGACAGGUGAUGGAUGUAUUAAAGAAUCUGGAUGUAAGAAAGAAUUAGCACCAAAGAUUAGAUUGAUGAAAUGGAUCUGUAGAAACAGGAGGGAAUUAUUUGCUGGGGUAAAAUGCUGGAGAAGUCCCCAAUUCAAGGAGGAUGCUCCAAUUUGUGACAAAAAGAUUCAAAGAAGUUGCCAUUACCAUAAACUUGUUGGAACGUGUCUAAAAUCGGUAAUUGGUAAAAACAAAAGUUGCACCUCUAGACAGAUGCAUUUUUAUGGGGGAUUGUUGGAGGCCAUUGAUAGAAUUAAAAGUCCAGAUGGAAGAUGUAAUUACUCAAAGAACAAUUAUGGCAAAUAAAAGAUUGGAACAUGUUUUAAUGUUUUCACUUUGUUGUAUUUUACAAAAUGUUAUAGAAUAAAAUUUGUUUUAAACAA
This is a long non-coding RNA of Patella vulgata (common limpet), 867 nucleotides long. RefSeq lists it as uncharacterized. The record is from RefSeq and is a predicted model, not a curated record. Lineage: Eukaryota; Metazoa; Mollusca; Gastropoda; Patellidae. The transcript is spliced from 6 exons.